UGGCCGCGGUAACUUGACCGUGCAAAGGUAGCAUAAUUAUUAGUCUUUUAAUUGAAGGCUUGAAUGAACGAUUGGAUGAGAAAUAAACUUUAUUGAUUUAAAUCAUUAAAUUUAUAAUUUAAGUAAAAAUUCUUAAAUAAAUAAGUGGGACGAGAAGACCCUAUAGAGUUUAAUUUUUCUUUUUAUUGUGAAAUUACAGAACUAAUAUUUUUUCAAUAUUAAUAAAAAUUUUGUUGGGGUGAUAUUAAAAAUUUAUUAACUUUUAAUUAGUAUUUCAUUAAUAUAUGUUUAAUUGAUCCAAUUAUUUUGAUUAUAAGAUUAAAUUACCUUAGGGAUAACAGCGUUAUUAAUUUGGAGAGUUCAAAUCGAUAAAUUAGUUUGCGACCUCGAUGUUGGAUUAAGAAAAAAUUUUAGAGCAGUAUUUAAAAUUUUGGGUCUGUUCGACCUUUAAAUUCUUACG
Molecule: ribosomal RNA, 460 nt
Filed under: Severiana severini
Lineage: Eukaryota; Metazoa; Arthropoda; Insecta; Hemiptera; Cicadidae
Description: partial 16S ribosomal RNA
Rfam family: Bacterial large subunit ribosomal RNA
Source: RNAcentral